Non-coding RNA from Sporosarcina sp. P33, 88 nucleotides. The record is from Rfam. Lineage: Bacteria; Bacillati; Bacillota; Bacilli; Caryophanales; Caryophanaceae.
AGGGCGGUAUCGAUUGCAGAGCUGCACCUGAUUGGCAAAUGAAUGAGAUUAGAAAUCUGCCUUGAUCUUUAUAGACAGGGACGGAGGA